UGCAGUCGAGGGGUAGAGAGUGCUUGCACUCUUGAGACCGGCGCACGGGUGCGUAACGCGUAUGCAAUCUACCUUUUACAGAGGGAUAGCCCAGAGAAAUUUGGAUUAAUACCUCAUAGUAUUAUUAAUUGGCAUCAAUUGAUAAUUAAAGCUGAGGCGGUAAAAGAUGAGCAUGCGUUCUAUUAGCUAGAUGGAGUGGUAACGGCACCCCAUGGCAACGAUAGAUAGGGGCCCUGAGAGGGGGAUCCCCCACACUGGUACUGAGACACGGACCAGACUCCUACGGGAGGCAGCAGUGAGGAAUAUUGGACAAUGGGCGAGAGCCUGAUCCAGCCAUGCCGCGUGCAGGAAGACGGUCCUAUGGAUUGUAAACUGCUUUUAUACGGGAAGAAACACCCCCUCGUGAGGGGGCUUGACGGUACCGUAAGAAUAAGGAUCGGCUAACUCCGUGCCAGCAGCCGCGGUAAUACGGAGGAUCCAAGCGUUAUCCGGAAUCAUUGGGUUUAAAGGGUCCGUAGGUGGAUAAUUAAGUCAGAGGUGAAAUCCUGCAGCUCAACUGUAGAAUUGCCUUUGAUACUGGUUAUCUUGAAUUAUUAUGAAGUAGUUAGAAUAUGUAGUGUAGCGGUGAAAUGCAUAGAUAUUACAUAGAAUACCAAUUGCGAAAGCAGAUUACUAAUAAUUGAUUGACACUGAUGGACGAA
Molecule: ribosomal RNA, 701 nt
Filed under: uncultured bacterium
Lineage: Bacteria
Description: bacterial SSU rRNA
Rfam family: Bacterial small subunit ribosomal RNA
Source: RNAcentral